This 394-nucleotide ribosomal RNA is filed under the name uncultured bacterium. RNAcentral describes it as "bacterial SSU rRNA". It matches the Rfam family "Bacterial small subunit ribosomal RNA", at positions 28 to 414 of the family's 1533-position model. The record is from RNAcentral.
GACGAACGCUGGCGGCGUGCUUAAUACAUGCAAGUCGAGCGAGGUCCAUCUGGUGGCAACACCAGUGAAGGCCGAGCGGCGAACGGGUGAGUAACACGUGAGCAACCUGCCCCGAAGUCUGGAAUAACAUCGGGAAACCGGUGCUAAUACCGGAUCGCCCCACCUGACCGCAUGAUCGGGUGAGGAAAGNUUUAUCGCUUCGGGGAGGGGCUCGCGGCCUAUCAGCAGUUGGUGGGGUAACGGCCUACCAAGGCGUCGACGGGUAGCUGGUCUGAGAGGACGACCAGCCACACUGGGACUGAGACACGGCCCAGACUCCUACGGGAGGCAGCAGUAGGGAAUCUUGCGCAAUGGGCGAAAGCCUGACGCAGCAACGCCGCGUGGGGGACGACGG